GGCGAACGCUGGCGGCGUGCUUAACACAUGCAAGUCGAACGGAAAGGCCCUGCUUUUGUGGGGUGCUCGAGUGGCGAACGGGUGAGUAACACGUGAGUAACCUGCCCUUGACUUUGGGAUAACUUCAGGAAACUGGGGCUAAUACCGGAUAGGAGCUCCUGCUGCAUGGUGGGGGUUGGAAAGUUUCGGCGGUUGGGGAUGGACUCGCGGCUUAUCAGCUUGUUGGUGGGGUAGUGGCUUACCAAGGCUUUGACGGGUAGCCGGCCUGAGAGGGUGACCGGCCACAUGGGGACUGAGAUACGGCCCAGACUCCUACGGGAGGCAGCAGUGGGGAAUAUUGCACAAUGGGCGGAAGCCUGAUGCAGCAACGCCGCGUGCGGGAUGACGGCCUUCGGGUUGUAAACCGCUUUCGCCUGUGACGAAGCGUGAGUGACGGUAAUGGGUAAAGAAGCACCGGCUAACUACGUG
This 468-nucleotide ribosomal RNA is filed under the name uncultured bacterium. RNAcentral describes it as "partial 16S ribosomal RNA". It matches the Rfam family "Bacterial small subunit ribosomal RNA", at positions 28 to 507 of the family's 1533-position model. The record is from RNAcentral.